RNAcentral lists this ribosomal RNA (434 nucleotides) under uncultured bacterium. RNAcentral's name for it is "partial 16S ribosomal RNA". It matches the Rfam family "Bacterial small subunit ribosomal RNA", at positions 29 to 507 of the family's 1533-position model. The record is from RNAcentral.
AGCGAACGCUGGCGGCAGGCCUAACACAUGCAAGUCGAACGAACCUUUCGGGGUUAGUGGCGGACGGGUGAGUAACACGUGGGAACGUGCCUUUAGGUUCGGAAUAACUCAGGGAAACUUGUGCUAAUACCGAAUGUGCCCUUCGGGGGAAAGAUUUAUCGCCUUUAGAGUGGCCCGCUUCUGAUUAGCUAGUUGGUUGAGGUAUUGGCCCACCAAGGAGACGAUCAGUAGCUGGUCUGAGAGGAUGUUCAGCCACAUUGGGACUGAGACACGGCCCAAACUCCUACGGGAGGCAGCAGUGGGGAAUCUUGCGCAAUGAGCGAAAGCCUGACGCAGCCAUGCCGCGUGAAUGAUGAAGGUCUUAGGAUUGUAAAAUUCUUUCACCGGGGACGAUAAUGACGGUACCCGGAGAAGAAGCCCCGGCUAACUUCGUG